UUAAUACUGGAUAGAUCAAAGAUACUGGAAUGUUCUUUGUUCGAAAGCUCCGGCGCCCAAGGAUGGGUCUGCGGCCUAUCAGGUGGUAGUGGGUGUAACGUACCUACUAGCCUACGACGGGUAAGGGUUGUGAGAGCAAGAGCCCUGAGAUGGAUUCUGAGACAUGAAUCCAGGCCCUACGGGGUGCAGCAGGCGCGAAAACUUUACACUGCGGGAAACCGCGAUAAGGGGACCCCGAGUGCCAGCACCUAGUGCUGGCUGUCCAGCUGUUCAAAAAACAGUUGUUAGCAAGGGCCGGGCAAGACCGGUGCCAGCCGCCGCGGUAACACCGGCGGCCCGAGUGGUAGCCGUUAUUAUUGGGUUUAAAGGGUCCGUAGCCGGCCUAUUAAGUCUCUUGGGAAAUCUGGCGACUCAAUCGUCAGGCGUUCA
Molecule: ribosomal RNA, 429 nt
Filed under: uncultured archaeon
Lineage: Archaea
Description: bacterial SSU rRNA
Rfam family: Archaeal small subunit ribosomal RNA
Source: RNAcentral